This 957-nucleotide ribosomal RNA is filed under the name Massilia eurypsychrophila. Its description in RNAcentral is "bacterial SSU rRNA". It matches the Rfam family "Bacterial small subunit ribosomal RNA", at positions 56 to 1011 of the family's 1533-position model. Lineage: Bacteria; Pseudomonadati; Pseudomonadota; Betaproteobacteria; Burkholderiales; Oxalobacteraceae. The record is from RNAcentral.
UGCAAGUCGAACGGCAGCGCGGGGCAACCUGGCGGCGAGUGGCGAACGGGUGAGUAAUAUAUCGGAACGUACCCAAGAGUGGGGGAUAACGUAGCGAAAGUUACGCUAAUACCGCAUACGAUCUAAGGAUGAAAGCAGGGGACCGCAAGGCCUUGUGCUCCUGGAGCGGCCGAUAUCUGAUUAGCUAGUUGGUAGGGUAAAGGCCUACCAAGGCUACGAUCAGUAGCUGGUCUGAGAGGACGACCAGCCACACUGGAACUGAGACACGGUCCAGACUCCUACGGGAGGCAGCAGUGGGGAAUUUUGGACAAUGGGCGCAAGCCUGAUCCAGCAAUGCCGCGUGAGUGAAGAAGGCCUUCGGGUUGUAAAGCUCUUUUGUCAGGGAAGAAACGGUGGGAGCUAAUAUCUCCCGCUAAUGACGGUACCUGAAGAAUAAGCACCGGCUAACUACGUGCCAGCAGCCGCGGUAAUACGUAGGGUGCAAGCGUUAAUCGGAAUUACUGGGCGUAAAGCGUGCGCAGGCGGUUUUGUAAGUCUGAUGUGAAAUCCCCGGGCUCAACCUGGGAAUUGCAUUGGAGACUGCAAGGCUAGAAUCUGGCAGAGGGGGGUAGAAUUCCACGUGUAGCAGUGAAAUGCGUAGAGAUGUGGAGGAACACCGAUGGCGAAGGCAGCCCCCUGGGUCAAGAUUGACGCUCAUGCACGAAAGCGUGGGGAGCAAACAGGAUUAGAUACCCUGGUAGUCCACGCCCUAAACGAUGUCUACUAGUUGUCGGGUUUUAAUUAACUUGGUAACGCAGCUAACGCGUGAAGUAGACCGCCUGGGGAGUACGGUCGCAAGAUUAAAACUCAAAGGAAUUGACGGGGACCCGCACAAGCGGUGGAUGAUGUGGAUUAAUUCGAUGCAACGCGAAAAACCUUACCUACCCUUGACAUGUACGGAAGCCACGAGAGAUCGAG